AUGACUGAUUUCCUCUGGUGCUUAGAGUCCAGCCUGUCUUCUAGCACCAUUUGAAAUCGGUUAU
Non-coding RNA from Astyanax mexicanus (Mexican tetra), 64 nucleotides. The record is from Rfam. Lineage: Eukaryota; Metazoa; Chordata; Actinopteri; Characiformes; Acestrorhamphidae.